Corticium candelabrum is the source of this 701-nucleotide long non-coding RNA. RefSeq lists it as uncharacterized. The transcript has 5 exons. The record is from RefSeq and is a predicted model, not a curated record. Lineage: Eukaryota; Metazoa; Porifera; Homoscleromorpha; Homosclerophorida; Plakinidae.
CCCCAUACAACUUUGUUUUCAAUCGAGUGUGCCACUCAACUUAGUGAGGAGAAGUGUGCCACUCGCCACAGGCAACAGAAAUCGGAUGUGCCACUCAACUUAGUGAGGAGAAGUGUGCCACUCGCCACAGACAACAGAGAGUAAGGUUAUUUACACUAAAUCAAUUCAUUAUUAUCAACCCUACAACUCAGUCGGUGUGCCACCCAACUUAGUGAGGACAAGUGUGUCACUCGCCACAGACAACAGAGAUGUGCCACCCAACUCAGUGAGGACAAGUGUGCCACUUGCCACAAGCAGCAGAGAGUUAGUCAGGUACGUGUGUCAACGAACUUAGUGAGGACAAGUGUGCCACUUGCCACAGAGAGCAGAGAUCGGGUGUGCCAUCCAACUCAGUGAGGACAAGUGUGCCACUCGCCACAGACAGCAGAGAGUAAAGUUAUUUACACUAAAAUAAUUCAUUAUUACAUGUUUGCCACAGAUAGCAGAGAGUAUCUGCACUACAAAAAGAAUACAACCUUGAUAUAAGCUGACAAGGUACUUACACCACUAUAACUGAGUGAAUUGCCAUUUGCCUAGUUUGUCAUAAUUCAAUCAUAUCAUUACUAAUUGUUUUUACUAACUAACUCUUGAACACUGUACACAAGUAUUGGUAUUUCACACCUCUUUGAUUGACCUUGUAGGUGUGAACAUGACAAGAACAC